This 125-nucleotide small RNA is filed under the name Marmota monax (woodchuck). Lineage: Eukaryota; Metazoa; Chordata; Mammalia; Rodentia; Sciuridae. The record is from RNAcentral.
GCCAGGUACAGUGGCGCAUGCCCGUAAUCCUAGCAGUUUGAAAGGCUGAGGCAGGAGGCUCACGAGUUCAAAGCCAGCCUCAGUAAAAGCAAGGUGCUAAGCAACUCCGUGAGACCCUGUCUCUA